GGGAAGAUUUUUAUUCUAUAGCUCUAUAAGUAUAAGAGUUGUGUGCAAACUUUUCCCUAAAUCAAUUUGUGGUCUUAGCCGACAGGCCUGAAUGAAGACCUUUCGACCUGUGCGAUUAUUCCACACACU
Non-coding RNA from Thrips palmi, 129 nucleotides. The record is from RefSeq and is a predicted model, not a curated record. NCBI's taxonomy places the organism in Eukaryota, Metazoa, Arthropoda, Insecta, Thysanoptera, Thripidae.